CUGUGCAAGUCCUACCAGCUGAAACACUGAAUAAACACACAAGAAGCCUUGUGCAGUGUAAAAGUCACAUGCAGUGUGAAUCUGUAUAGCCAGCACAACUCGGAGGAUUUCUUUGUGUACAAGUGUUUCAGUUUCCAGGAUCAAUUUAAACUCCCUCAGGAGAGAAACUCUUCUGGAGCAAGUAGACUGAAGAUGGUUUGGUCCAACUACUGUGAUGAAGGCUGGGUUCAAAGAAAAAGCCCCUACUGGCCUCUGGAUCAGGAGAUGCAGUGUGUCAUCAGAUAAACAGCUCAACAGUAAAGCGGUAGAAUUGUCUUGUCUCACCCCAGUUGUAGGAGAGAAGGUGCCAUGCCAGCCACAGUACCUGCCACCUACUAAACCUGAAGUUUGAAAAGCCCUAGAGAAAGGAUCAGUCUUUAGAUAGAUAGGUCCUAAUUUGCUGUUGAUUUCCCUUUACUGUGCUUGUUUGGCAUAACUGCUUCAGAGGUACUUACAUUGAUCCAGUCACAGCUGCCUUCAGACAGAGAAAUAAGCAGCAGAAGGAGUGGAACUUCUGAGAAAUGCACCUUCUGCUUUUGUUCAGCUGUUCCUGCCUCUUUCUCAGGAAAACUGAAGAUCAGAGGCUGAGGGGGAAUCCUGAACCAGGAGAAGAUAAAGAAAACUCACCUCACUCUUUGUAAGGUUGGAAGGGGCAGCAGGAGAUUGUCUAGUCCUAUCUCCUGUCCAAAGGAGGAUCAACUACAGCAGGCUUCUCUGGACCAUGAUCAGUUGGGUGGUAAAUAUCUCCAAAGAUGCAGACUUCAAAUGUCUCCAUGCAGUUUGUUCCG
Vidua chalybeata is the source of this 827-nucleotide long non-coding RNA. RefSeq lists it as uncharacterized. The record is from RefSeq and is a predicted model, not a curated record. The transcript is spliced from 5 exons. Lineage: Eukaryota; Metazoa; Chordata; Aves; Passeriformes; Viduidae.